GACAGAGGGUGCAAACGUUGUUCGGAUUUACUGGGCGUAAAGCGCGUGUAGGCGGCUUUGCAAGUCGGAUGUGAAAUCCCUCGGCUCAACCGGGGAACUGCGUCUGAGACUGGAAGGCUUGAAUCCGGGAGAGGGAUGUGGAAUUCCAGGUGUAGCGGUGAAAUGCGUAGAUAUCUGGAGGAACACCGGUGGCGAAGGCGGCAUCCUGGACCGGUAUUGACGCUGAGGCGCGAAAGCCAGGGGAGCAAACGGG
RNAcentral lists this ribosomal RNA (253 nucleotides) under uncultured bacterium. RNAcentral's name for it is "partial 16S ribosomal RNA". It matches the Rfam family "Bacterial small subunit ribosomal RNA", at positions 524 to 776 of the family's 1533-position model. The record is from RNAcentral.